This 455-nucleotide unclassified non-coding RNA is filed under the name Hevea brasiliensis (rubber tree). Lineage: Eukaryota; Viridiplantae; Streptophyta; Magnoliopsida; Malpighiales; Euphorbiaceae. The record is from RNAcentral.
CUCUUUUAACGUCCCAUCACUGAUCUUCCUCUUUCUCUUUCUCUCUCUUCUUUUCUUCUUCGUCUUCUCUCCCUGAAAGCCCUCCGUGUCUCAUGAAUAAAGAAAACACCAAAGCAUAAUCUCUUGCCCGUGAAAAGAUCAAUCCACGCUAACAAUAACCCAAUUGGCUUCUUCAAACUGUGAACUUUGAAGAAGAACAGGAAGCACAGUACCCCACCUGAUAGGUCUAAAAGGGAGCUCAAGACGAUAAGAAAAUAGGUAAAAUUGAAGCAGAUCGUUCGUCACCAUAUUAUCACCUUAAAGAUAGUAGAUUAGUAUAUUUGAUUUUCAUGGAGUCAGCAUCAGGAGGGACUGGAGCAUCCGACCCGAAUAGCGGAGAACCGAUUCCAUCAACAGCAGCAGCUGCUCCAACGGGAGCAUCUUCAGCAUCGCAAGGACAAGCAGAGGGAUCAUUU